This 403-nucleotide unclassified non-coding RNA is filed under the name soil metagenome. RNAcentral describes it as "partial contains 5.8S ribosomal RNA, internal transcribed spacer 2, and large subunit ribosomal RNA". The stretch from base 1 to 120 matches the Rfam family "5.8S ribosomal RNA", at positions 35 to 154 of the family's 154-position model. The record is from RNAcentral.
GAUGAAGAACGUAGCGAAAUGCGAUAAGUAAUGUGAAUUGCAGAAUUCAGUGAAUCAUCGAAUCUUUGAACGCACCUUGCGCCCUUUGGACUUCUGAAGGGCAUGCCUGUUUGAGUAUCAUGAACACCUCAACUCCUUAUGGUCUUCCAUGAUGAGCUUGGACUUUGGGGGUUUUGCUGGCCUACAGUCAGCUCCUCUAAAAUAAAUCAGCUUACCGGUGUUUGGUGGGUAUCAUGGGUGUGAUAACUAUCUACGCGCGUGGUUUUCCACCAGGUAACCUUCAGCAGUGGAGGUUCACUGGAGCUCAUAGAUGUCUCUCCUCAGCGAGGACAGCCCUUUGAAUGUUUGAUCUCAAAUCAGGUAGGACUACCCGCUGAACUUAAGCAUAUCAAUAAGCGGAGGA